Molecule: ribosomal RNA, 440 nt
Filed under: Paenibacillus algorifonticola
Lineage: Bacteria; Bacillati; Bacillota; Bacilli; Caryophanales; Paenibacillaceae
Description: bacterial SSU rRNA
Rfam family: Bacterial small subunit ribosomal RNA
Source: RNAcentral
CCUAAAUGGAGAGUUUGAUCCUGGCUCAGGACGAACGCUGGCGGCGUGCCUAAUACAUGCAAGUCGAGCGGACCAAGUGUUUCCUUCGGGAAACACGUUGGUUAGCGGCGGACGGGUGAGUAACACGUAGGUAACCUGCCCGUAAGACUGGGAUAACAUUCGGAAACGAAUGCUAAUACCGGAUACACAACUUGGUCGCAUGAUCGGAGUUGGGAAAGACGGAGCAAUCUGUCACUUACGGAUGGACCUGCGGCGCAUUAGCUAGUUGGUGAGGUAACGGCUCACCAAGGCGACGAUGCGUAGCCGACCUGAGAGGGUGAUCGGCCACACUGGGACUGAGACACGGCCCAGACUCCUACGGGAGGCAGCAGUAGGGAAUCUUCCGCAAUGGACGAAAGUCUGACGGAGCAACGCCGCGUGAGUGAUGAAGGUUUUCGGAU